AGCUGCGCCCCAGCCAGCCAAUCAGCGGCUACAUCCGGAGCCCCGCCUCGGGCUCGGCGUGGGUGGGGCAAACGCUGGGCUCCAGCCGCGGAGGUCCCAGGAGCGGGGCUUAUUAGGGGCGAUACUACAAGUAUGCAGUGCAAGGUUAUUAUGAAGAUUGAGUAAUAUACAUAAAGCCCUCAGGAAAAGAAGCACUUUAUAGUGAGUAUACCGUGAGAAGGCAGCCGUCUGUGAACCAGAACAAGGGCCCUCACCAAGAAGUAACCAUGCUGGCACCCUGAUCUUGGACUUCUGGCAUCUGGAACGGUGAGAAGUAAAUAUUUGUUAAAUAUAUACACCUACUAUGCACCCACAAAACUUAAGAAUAAAAAAUUUUAAAAACUUUGUUGUUUAAGCCACCUAAUGUACGGUAUCUUGUUAUAGUAGCUUGAACUAAGAUAAUGAGCAUACUAUUUUGUUAUAUAGUUUUCAUUAUAUUUCAUUUUAGAAAUAUAUUAUGGGGCUGGGCACGGUGGCUCACACCUGUAGUCCCAGCACU
Long non-coding RNA from Chlorocebus sabaeus (green monkey), 538 nucleotides. RefSeq lists it as uncharacterized. Lineage: Eukaryota; Metazoa; Chordata; Mammalia; Primates; Cercopithecidae. The record is from RefSeq and is a predicted model, not a curated record.